AACGAACGCUGGCGGCAUGCCUAACACAUGCAAGUCGAACGAGACCUUCGGGUCUAGUGGCGCAUGGGUGCGUAACGCGUGGGAACCUGCCCUUAGGUUCGGAAUAACUCCUCGAAAGGGGUGCUAAUACCGGAUAAUGUCUUCGGACCAAAGAUUGAUCGCCUUUGGUUGGGCCCGCGUUGGAUUAGCUAUUUGUUAGGGUAAAAGCCUACCUAGGCUACGAUACAUAGCUGGUCAGAGAGGAUGAGCAGCCACACUGGGACUGGGACACGGCCCAGACUCCUACAGGAUGCGGCAGUGGGUAAUAUUGUACAAUGGUAAAAAGCAAGAAACAGUAAUGGCGCGUAAGUGAUGAAGGCCUUAAAGAAAUAAAGCACGUUUACCCGGUAUGAUAAUGACAGUACCGAGAGAAUAAGCUCCGGCUAACUCCGUG
Molecule: ribosomal RNA, 433 nt
Filed under: uncultured bacterium
Lineage: Bacteria
Description: partial 16S ribosomal RNA
Rfam family: Bacterial small subunit ribosomal RNA
Source: RNAcentral